UUCCUUUUUCCGGAUCUUAGUACUGAGUUUUUCUUUUUUCUCAAGCUGCAAUUUGGCUUGCAGCAAUGUCUAGUUUAAUCCGGCAGUGGGACUUUUCUUGAAAGUAAACUAACCAUAAGAGAAUUAGGGGUUUAUAACGCAGGGAGGUGAAAACAUAAAAGCAAAUGGGUUUUAGAAUGUAUCCAAAUCAUAACAGCCCUCAAGUAUGGCGGGGAGAGUGGAUUUUGAGAAUGUGUGGGAUGGAAACUAGAAUCAGCAUCUGAAGGAAAAGUUUACUUAACGCAGGACCCAUCUGUUAUCUGAAGAGCGUUGCUUGAAGUAUCCUAUAAAAACAGCAGGACACGAGGACUGUGAGGGGGAAAGAAGAAGGAAAGCACUACAAUACACCGAAGACAGGAAGAGGUAGAAGAAAGAAAUCAGAGAAAAGCAUGGAAAUAACACAAGAAAUGAAAACCAGGUUUAUUCUCACAAAGAAAUACAGAGGUUUAAUGGAACUCCCAUAUCAGGAGAAGACUGGGUGAAAAAAAUCAGGUAGCAAAGAUAUUCAUGUUCUGGAGUUUGGGAAGUCCACAAUCAAGGCAUCAGCAGUUUGGUGUAUGGUGAAGGCCUGUUCUCCACUUCCAAGAUGGCACCUUGAGCCCUGUGUCUUCACAUGGCAGAAGAGUAAAAGGGGAUGAUUGCUGCUUCCCUCCAGCCCCUUAUGAGGGCACUAAUUCCACUCAUGAGGGCUCUGCUAUUGGAACUUAAUUCCCUCCCAAAGGCCCCACCCUUAAUACUAUCACACUGCCUGUUAAAUUACUACACAUGAAUUUAGCGGACAUUUACAUUAUAGCACUUCCUAAAGGUACCCCCAGCUCCCAUGCUGAGUCAGCUCAAGAAAGUUCAUGCAGCUAUACUUUAAGGCGAGCAGCUUCCCACUGCCUUGCCCUUUCGCCUGGUUCUCCACCUCACCUUGGGCCUGACCAGUGGAGUCAGCUGUCUGUGGACUGAGACCUCUGAAACUGAGCCAAAAUAAACUGUU
Long non-coding RNA from Sciurus carolinensis (gray squirrel), 1021 nucleotides. RefSeq lists it as uncharacterized. NCBI's taxonomy places the organism in Eukaryota, Metazoa, Chordata, Mammalia, Rodentia, Sciuridae. The record is from RefSeq and is a predicted model, not a curated record. The transcript is spliced from 3 exons.